UAAAUUAACGAAUAUAAGCCGCUAACUUAUAAAUUCAAGUGGUUAAAAUCCAUUUAUAUCUUUUUAACAU
RNAcentral lists this transfer RNA (70 nucleotides) under Creobroter sp. JZ-2017. RNAcentral's name for it is "tRNA-Ser". The record is from RNAcentral. Lineage: Eukaryota; Metazoa; Arthropoda; Insecta; Mantodea; Hymenopodidae.